AGUGAACGCUGGCGGUAGGCCUAACACAUGCAAGUCGAACGGCAGCACAGUAAGAGCUUGCUCUUACGGGUGGCGAGUGGCGGACGGGCGAGGAAUACAUCGGAAUCUACUUUUUCGUGGGGGAUAACGUAGGGAAACUUACGCUAAUACCGCAUACGACCUACGGGUGAAAGCAGGGGAUCUUCGGACCUUGCGCGAUUGAAUGAGCCGAUGUCGGAUUAGCUAGUUGGCGGGGUAAAGGCCCACCAAGGCGACGAUCCGUAGCUGGUCUGAGAGGAUGAUCAGCCACACUGGAACUGAGACACGGUCCAGACUCCUACGGGAGGCAGCAGUGGGGAAUAUUGGACAAUGGGCGCAAGCCUGAUCCAGCCAUACCGCGUGGGUGAAGAGGGCCUUCGGGUUGUAAAGCCCUUUUGUUGGGAAAGAAAAGCAGCAGGUUAAUACCCCGCUGUUCCGACGGUACCCAAAGAAUAAGCACCGGCUAACUUCGUG
RNAcentral lists this ribosomal RNA (492 nucleotides) under uncultured bacterium. Its description in RNAcentral is "partial 16S ribosomal RNA". It matches the Rfam family "Bacterial small subunit ribosomal RNA", at positions 29 to 507 of the family's 1533-position model. The record is from RNAcentral.